UAACUUAUGAUAUAACGCCAAAAGCUAGUUUGAUGAUGACCACAUAGCAAUAAUACAACGAGCAUGCAAAAACAAACUAGAGUUAAAUACUAACUAGAGUUAAAUUAUUGGAUGCAUGGGAUCACGUACGUCACAUCUUCAAGAAUAUGAAGAUCAGCUAAGAUGAUAGCAUGAGACCAAAUUCAUGUCUCAAAGGACAGUAGUAACUAUCCU
This 213-nucleotide long non-coding RNA is filed under the name Elaeis guineensis (African oil palm). RNAcentral's name for it is "long non-coding RNA (EGUI_LNC001459)". The record is from RNAcentral. Lineage: Eukaryota; Viridiplantae; Streptophyta; Magnoliopsida; Arecales; Arecaceae.